UUUUGGCAGCAUCCAAGUGUUUUUAUCAAUGACCAAAUACCAACUGCCGUGGGUAAUACUAUAAUUGUAUAUUCCUGAUGUUUACCACUUACUAAAAUGGCUAGUUAAACAUUACCCAAUUAACUACAAAAUAAAAUCAGUUUGAGCUGUCUGAAAUGUAGCUAACAGAAUUCGACAGACUGUCAUUGUAGUUUAAGCUUCUGGGACGCUGAUGAUGCUUUCAGGCUUUGGCUAUCUGUUGCUCAGAAACUACAUAUUCCUUUUGCUGAUUAGGUUCUAUAUGCCAAGGAACCUUCCUAAUGAAUUGGCAGGCAGGAAUCUGUUUGCAUCCCUUUUGCACUAAGGUUUGUUUCUGUUUUGUACUACAUGUCCUGAUUGUUUUGUUUGUUUGAUUGUUUAUUUUUAGGAGGUUUACUUUCCCUAGCAUUGAGGAAACAGAAGCACUAGAACAUGUUAUGGGAAAUUGCAAAAACAGUUAGUAACCCAAAUUUGGAAAGCCCUGGGCUGCUUCUGUUUGUAGGUUAAAUCAAGCAUGAAGUUGUAGGAGCAAGAAUCAUCUUUUCCCUGCACUGAGUUAUAAGGGUAGGAAGGAAUUGGGCUGGUGCAGAAACUGGAAAAAUCAAAGCAGCUGAGUUCCCCUAGGGUGCUCUUUUCAUUAUCAUUCAGUGAGUAGCUCCGGCUAGAAGUAAUGCUGCUCAUCUACUGUGCUUCCUCCUCCUGGCUAUAAUGAAUCACAGUUUGCCAGUGUGAUGCAUACACCUUGACUUUGGUACUAAUCCACUAUCAUAGCUACCUAUUUCCUUCAACAUGAGAGAAGGGUAUGUUCAUCUAGAGUAGAAGUCUGAAUGGAAGCACCAUUUCUUGCCAUCCUGGCAAUGUGACUUUGAUUUCACACAGUGAAAUCAACACACUGGCACACACUGGGAGACUGGUGAUUGAAAUAAGCUGGUUGUUGGUUAUAACAGCUGACUGGCAUUCUCACCUCUUUGACUCUCACAGUUCUCACUCUAUAUGUUUCCUUAGACUUUAUUCCUACUAGUUAUUUCUCUUUCCCUCCCAUUUCCUUCCCAUAUGGAAUUACUGUAUUUUUAAACUUGUUAUCCUAUCUGAUAGCAACCUUAUUGCUGAUUGCUUCACAGUUGCCUAUAUAUUUAAACUAUUUUUGUUAUAUAUCUAUCUCUGCACCUGUAUAUUUUCUUGGUCAAUCAUUUCUGGCAUUUUUGUUGUUGGUUUGGAUUGGAAUAUUUGUUUUGGUAGUGUGUAGGACAGUAAGUUUUUCUGGUUUAGCUAUCUGUGCAUUUAUUUAUUAAUUUUCAAAAGAGACUUAGAUAAAUAAACUAAGAAU
RNAcentral lists this long non-coding RNA (1345 nucleotides) under Gallus gallus (chicken). RNAcentral's name for it is "lncRNA (ENSGALG00010004819.1)". Lineage: Eukaryota; Metazoa; Chordata; Aves; Galliformes; Phasianidae. The record is from RNAcentral.